Molecule: ribosomal RNA, 508 nt
Filed under: uncultured bacterium
Lineage: Bacteria
Description: partial 16S ribosomal RNA
Rfam family: Bacterial small subunit ribosomal RNA
Source: RNAcentral
AUUGAACGCUGGCGGCAGGCCUAACACAUGCAAGUCGAGCGGCAGCGGGAAAGUAGCUUGCUACUUUUGCCGGCGAGCGGCGGACGGGUGAGUAAUGCCUGGGGAUCUGCCCAAUCGAGGGGGAUAACUACUGGAAACGGUAGCCAAUACCGCAUACGCCCUACGGGGGAAAGCAGGGGACCUUCGGGCCUUGCGCGAUUGGAUGAACCCAGGUGGGAUUAGCUAGUUGGUGAGGUAAUGGCUCACCAAAGCGACGAUCCCUAGCUGGUCUGAGAGGAUGAUCAGCCACACUGGAACUGAGACACGGUCCAGACUCCUACGGGAGGCAGCAGUGGGGAAUAUUGCACAAUGGGGGAAACCCUGAUGCAGCCAUGCCGCGUGUGUGAAGAAGGCCUUCGGGUUGUAAAGCACUUUCAGCGAGGAGGAAAGGUUGGUAGCUAAUAACUGCCAGCUGUGACGUUACUCGCAGAAGAAGCACCGGCUAACUCCGUGCCAGCCGCCGCAGUAA